This is a non-coding RNA of Acanthosepion pharaonis, 108 nucleotides long. Lineage: Eukaryota; Metazoa; Mollusca; Cephalopoda; Sepiida; Sepiidae. The record is from the annotation of a GenBank genome assembly.
UUAUAUCACGUUGAAACACUGGUUCUCAUAUGAUCACUGAAGUUAAGCUAAAUCGAGCCUGGUUAGUACGUAGAUGGGUGACCACUUGGGAAUACCAAGUACUGUAAG